CUGGCUUUGGCUUUUUGCCUUAUUACUUUGAGAAAAUUAGAGUGUUUCAAGCAGACUUUUGUCUUGAAUACUGUAGCAUGGAAUAAUAGAGUAGGACUUUGGUUCUAUUUUGUUGGUUUGGGAACCUUGGUAAUGGUUAAUAGGAACGGUUGGGGGCAUA
RNAcentral lists this ribosomal RNA (160 nucleotides) under Babesia canis rossi. Its description in RNAcentral is "partial small subunit ribosomal RNA". It matches the Rfam family "Eukaryotic small subunit ribosomal RNA", at positions 746 to 892 of the family's 1831-position model. Lineage: Eukaryota; Apicomplexa; Aconoidasida; Piroplasmida; Babesiidae. The record is from RNAcentral.